UGAGUCACCUCUGGUGCAGCUUUGCCUUU
Molecule: non-coding RNA, 29 nt
Filed under: Homo sapiens (human)
Lineage: Eukaryota; Metazoa; Chordata; Mammalia; Primates; Hominidae
Source: RNAcentral